AACGCAUUUAAAGUGCCCCCCUGGGGAAGUACGCCCGCAAGGCUAAAAUUCAAAGGAAUUGACGGGGGCCCGCACAAGCAGCGCAGCAUGUGGUUAAUUUGAAGCAACGCGAAAGAACCUUACCUGGGCUUGACAUAUUGGUGGAAAACCGGGGAAACACGGUCCCUCUUCGGAGCCGGCUAUACAGGUGGUGCAUGGCUGUCGUCAGCUCGUGUCGUGAGAUGUUGGGUUAAGUCCCCGCAAACGAGCGCAACCCUCGUCGUAUGUUGCCAGCAUUUAGUUGGGGACUCAUACGAGACUGCCGGUGACAAACCGGAGGAAGGCGGGGACGACGUCAAGUCAUCAUGCCCCUUAUGUCCAGGGCUACACACGUGCUACAUUGGCGCGUACAGAGGGCUGCGAUACCGUGAGGUGGAGCGAAUCCCUUAAAGCGCGUCUCGGUUCGGAUUGUAGGCUGAAACUCGCCUACAUGAAGGCGGAGUUGCUAGUAAUCGCAGAUCAGAACGCUGCGGUGAAUACGUUCCCGGGCCUUGUACACGCCGCCCGUCACACCACGGGAGUGAGCAACACCCGAAGCCGGUGGCCUAACCCGCAAGGGAGGGAUCUGUCGAAUGUGGGGCUCGGGAGAGAGAGAAGUCGUAACAAUGUAUUCUGUGAUGGAGUGGAGAACCGCCA
RNAcentral lists this ribosomal RNA (675 nucleotides) under uncultured Actinomycetes bacterium. Its description in RNAcentral is "bacterial SSU rRNA". It matches the Rfam family "Bacterial small subunit ribosomal RNA", at positions 854 to 1531 of the family's 1533-position model. The record is from RNAcentral. Lineage: Bacteria; Bacillati; Actinomycetota; Actinomycetes.